Non-coding RNA from Danio rerio (zebrafish), 71 nucleotides. Lineage: Eukaryota; Metazoa; Chordata; Actinopteri; Cypriniformes; Danionidae. The record is from Rfam.
GCAUUGAUGGUUCAGUGGUAGAAUUCUCGCCUGCCAUGCGGGAGACCCGGGUCCGAUUCCCAACCAAUGCA